CUGUGAAGAGUUGGACCCCUACUGGGAUGGCUAGGUAUUUCCUGUGUAGUGUUGGACCCCUACUGGGAUGGCUAGGUAUUUCCUGUGUAGAGUUGGACCCCUACUGGGAUGGCUAGGUAUUUCCUGUGUAGUGUUGGACCCCUUCCUACUGGGAUGGCUAGGUAUUUCCUGUGUAGAGUUGGACCCCUACUGGGAUGGCUAGGUAUUUCCUGUGUAGAGUUGGACCCCUACUGGGAUGGCUAGGUAUUUCCUGUGAAGAGUUGGACCCCUUCCUACUGGGAUGGCUAGGUAUUUCCUGUGUAGAGUUGGACCCCUACUGGGAUGGCUAGGUAUUUCCUGUGUAGAGUUGGACCCCUACUGGGAUGGCCAGGUAUUUCCUGUGUAGAGUUGGACUCCUACUGGGAUGGCUAGGUAUUUCCUGUGUAGAGUUGGACCCCUUCUGGGAUGGCUAGGUAUUUUCUGUGAAGAGUUGGACCCCUACUGGGAUGGCUAGGUAUUUCCUGUGAAGAGUUGGACCCCUACUGGGAUGGCUAGGUAUUUCCUGUGUAGUGUUGGACCCCUACUGGGAUGGCUACGUAUUUCCUGUGAAGAGUUGGACCCCUACUGGGAUGGCUACGUAAUUCCUGUGUAGAGUUGGACCCCUACUGGGAUGGCUAGGUAUUUCCUGUGUAGAGUUGGACCCCUACUGGGAUGGCUAGGUAUUUCCUGUGAAGAGUUGGACCCCUUCCUACUGGGAUGGCUAGGUAUUUCCUGUGAAGAGUUGGACCCCUACUGGGAUGGCUAGGUAUUUCCUGUGUAGAGUUGGACCCCUUCCUACUGGGAUGGCUAGGUAUUUCCUGUGUAGAGUUGGACCCCUACUGGGAUGGCCAGGUAUUUCCUGUGUAGAGUUGGACCCCUACUGGGAUGGUUAGGUAUUUCCUGUGUAGAGUUAGACCCCUUCCUACUGGGAUGGCUAGGUAUUUCCUGUGAAGAGUUGGACCCCUUCCUACUGGGAUGGCUAGGUAUUUCCUGUGUAGAGUUGGACCCCUACUGGGAUGGCUAGGUAUUUCCUGUGUAGAGUUGGACCCCUACUGGGAUGGCCAGGUAUUUCCUGUGUAGAGUUGGACUCCUACUGGGAUGGCUAGGUAUUUCCUGUGUAGAGUUGGACCCCUACUGGGAUGGCUAGGUAUUUUCUGUGAAGAGUUGGACCCCUACUGGGAUGGCUAGGUAUUUCCUGUGUAGAGUUGGACCCCUUCCUACUGGGAUGGCUAGGUAUUUCCUGUGUAGUGUUGGACCCCUACUGGGAUGGCUACGUAUUUCCUGUGAAGAGUUGGACCCCUACUGGGAUGGCUACGUAAUUCCUGUGUAGAGUUGGACCCCUACUGGGAUGGCUAGGUAUUUCCUGUGUAGAGUUGGACCCCUACUGGGAUGGCUAGAUAUUUCCUGUGUAGAGUUGGACCCCUACUGGGAUGGCUAGGUAUUUCCUGUGAAGAGUUGGACCCCUUCCUACUGGGAUGGCUAGGUAUUUCCUGUGUAGAGUUGGACCCCUACUGGGAUGGCUAGGUAUUUCCUGUGUAGAGUUGGACCCCUACUGGGAUGGCUAGGUAUUUCCUGUGUAGAGUUGGACCCCUACUGGGAUGGCUAGGUAUUUCCUGUGUAGUGUUGGACCCCUACUGGGAUGGCUAGGUAUUUCCUGUGUAGAGUUGGACCCCUACUGGGAUGGCUAGGUAUUUCCUGUGUAGAGUUGGACCCCUUCCUACUGGGAUGGCUAGGUAUUUCCUGUGUAGAGUUGGACCCCUACUGGGAUGGCUAGGUAUUUCCUGUGUAGUGUUGGACCCCUACUGGGAUGGCUAGGUAUUUCCUGUGAAGAGUUGGACCCCUUCCUACUGGGAUGGCUAGGUAUUUCCUGUGUAGAGUUAGACCCCUUCCUACUGGGAUGGCUAGGUAUUUCCUGUGUAGAGUUGGACCCCUACUGGGAUGGCUAGGUAUUUCCUGUGUAGAGUUGGACCCCUUCCUACUGGGAUGGCUAGGUAUUUCCUGUGUAGAGUUAGACCCCUUCCUACUGGGAUGGCUAGGUAUUUCCUGUGUAGAGUUGGACCCCUACUGGGAUGGCUAGGUAUUUCCUGUGUAGAGUUGGACCCCUUCCUACUGGGAUGGCCAGGUAUAUCCUGUGUAGAGUUGGACCCCUACUGGGAUGGCUAGGUAUUUCCUGUGUAGAGUUGGACCCCUUCCUACUGUGAUGGCUAGGUAUUUCCUGUGUAGAUUUGGACCCCUACUGGGAUGGCUAGGUAUUUCCUGUGAAGAGUUGGACCCCUACUGGGAUGGCUAGGUAUUUCCUGUGUAGAGUUAGAUCCUAUCCACUGGGAUGUCCCCCUCCCCCCACACACACCUGGCCACACCUGAUAACACGAAGGUCAGGUAUUGUGUACAAUAGCCACUUGUGUGUUCCCAUGCUUUUUAAUGCAACUGUACUAUAUUAUACAGAACAUGCAUGGCACUGUACUGUGGAAUGUUAUAGAGAAAAUACACCCAGGACACAAAUAUGUUCUACAAUAAAAUUUAUUUUGUACAGAU
Molecule: long non-coding RNA, 2553 nt
Organism: Pecten maximus
Lineage: Eukaryota; Metazoa; Mollusca; Bivalvia; Pectinida; Pectinidae
Exons: 4
Source: RefSeq, a predicted model, not a curated record